AUACUUUGUUUAGCAAUCUGGAGAGGAGUUGGCCUUCUUUAUCUUCCCGUUUGAAACUAGAAGCUAGAAGUACUCAGUGGCUGUAAGCUUGAAGAGAAUUCAAAGAAGCCGCAAAGGAGAUUGAAGAAAGUAAAGCCCUCUUGUUUUUAACAACUCUGCCUUGCCCCUCACACAUUUCCAUGAAGAGGAGAAAGUCUUAUAGCAAUGGAGCUUCAGGACUGGGAUUAUACUCUUAGGAACCAAACUAACACUCUUGUCUGCUAAGAUUAUCUGCUGGAGGUGACAUAUUUUCUCCAAUUAGAAUAUUGUGAAUCCUUAAAAAGAAAGCAAUGGGUAUUAACAGCAAAGAACGCCAACUCUCUCUUGACAGUCAUCAAACCAUCGUUCUAUAAGGUGGGAUAGGAACAGAGGGGAAGGUGAGGAGACACAGUGGAUAGAGAACUGGACUUGAAGCUAAGAAAACUUGCAUUUGGGGUCUUUCUACCUCCACCUACACUGGUUGUGUCACCCUAGGGGGAAGAUGGACAAAAUUGACAGGGAGGAGGCAUGAACCAAGGAAAUUCCCUAAACUGAACAGGAGGAGGAGAAAUGCUGUCUUCGAUAGACAAAAUUCAGCCACAAUCAAGCUAAUUGAAUGCACAAAUGUAAUAUUUUUCUGGGGCACCUCCAAUUUAAUGCUUGAUGAAGUCGUGUCAUUCGCACGUAUUUACAAAAGCUUUUCUUCAUCCAGAAAUGUCUGUUGAAAUUGCUUACAGAUGCUGAGAUAGCAAAUCACUCUUCUAAUGUAAUGAGAUAAGUCAUCUCUAUAAACUUUGCUUGCUCAAAUGUACUCACAUAAAAGAAAUCAGGCUACAGGCUUUUUUUUCAAUAAAUAGAAUGAAUAACCAGAA
This 890-nucleotide long non-coding RNA is filed under the name Monodelphis domestica (gray short-tailed opossum). RNAcentral's name for it is "lncRNA (ENSMODG00000050746.1)". Lineage: Eukaryota; Metazoa; Chordata; Mammalia; Didelphimorphia; Didelphidae. The record is from RNAcentral.